Pogona vitticeps (central bearded dragon) is the source of this 413-nucleotide non-coding RNA. Lineage: Eukaryota; Metazoa; Chordata; Lepidosauria; Squamata; Agamidae. The record is from RefSeq and is a predicted model, not a curated record.
GACUUUCUGCUCAGUAGAAGCUUGAUAGGAUACACCUCAAGCCUGAGAUCCUAUUGUAGGGUGAAAAGCCUGAUGAUGUAGGAACAUGAGACCAGCCAAUGGCAGUUUUGUGCAUCCCAUGAUGGCCACUGAGAAAAUGCAACCUCCACGUGCACACCUCCAUACAGAUUGACAAUUGAACCAAAGUAUAGAACAUAUUUAAAAUGUUUUCACCACCCCAAAAUACAAAGGAACUUUCUUCCAAUGAAACCCACACAGAAUCAGCUGGAACUUCACACUGCACUGAGGGAGGAUUGUGGAACUCAAUGGAGUAGUGGCAUGAUCCAGUGUCCUGAUAUCUGUUGGGAUGUCGCGCACUAGUCCCUGAAGAAAUCCAAAGUCUCAUCCCAGUGAAUGAAGCAACCGGAGUGCAG